This 22-nucleotide microRNA is filed under the name Melibe leonina. Its description in RNAcentral is "mle-miR-29c-3p". Its record names the gene mle-miR-29c-3p. Lineage: Eukaryota; Metazoa; Mollusca; Gastropoda; Nudibranchia; Dendronotidae. The record is from miRBase by way of RNAcentral.
UUGCUCCAUUUGUAACCAGACA